CCUACGGGUGGCAGCAGUGGGGAAUAUUGCACAAUGGGCGCAAGCCUGAUGCAGCAACGCCGCGUGAGGGAUGAAGGCCUUCGGGUCGUAAAGCUCUGUUCACAAGGAAGAUAAUGAAGGUACUUGUGGAGGAAGCCCCGGCAAACUUCGUGCCAGCAGCCGCGGUGAUAUGGAGGGGGCUAGCGUUAUCCGGAAUUACUGGGCGUAAGGGGUGCGUAGGUGGUUUAUUAAGUCAGUGGUGAAAGGCUACGGCUCAACCGUAGUAAGCCUUUGAAACUGGGGAACUUGAGUGCAGGAGAGGAGAGUGGAAUUCCUAGUGUAGCGGUGAAAUGCGUAGAUAUUAGGAGGAACACCAGUUGCGAAGGCGGCUCACUGGACUGUAACUGACACUGAGGCACGAAAGCGUGGGGAGCAAACAGGAUUAGAUACCCCGGUAGUC
Molecule: ribosomal RNA, 439 nt
Filed under: uncultured bacterium
Lineage: Bacteria
Description: partial 16S ribosomal RNA
Rfam family: Bacterial small subunit ribosomal RNA
Source: RNAcentral